RNAcentral lists this ribosomal RNA (390 nucleotides) under uncultured bacterium. Its description in RNAcentral is "bacterial SSU rRNA". It matches the Rfam family "Bacterial small subunit ribosomal RNA", at positions 28 to 416 of the family's 1533-position model. The record is from RNAcentral.
GACGAACGCUGGCGGCGUGCUUAACACAUGCAAGUCGAGCGGUAAGGCCCUUUCGGGGGUACGACGAGCGGCGAACGGGUGAGUAACACGUGGGUGACCUGCCCUCAGCUCUGGGAUAAGCCUGGGAAACCGGGUCUAAUACUGGAUAUGACUCCAUGACGCAUGUUGUGGGGUGGAAAGCCUUGUGCGGCUGAGGAUGGGCCCGCGGCCUAUCAGCUUGUUGGUGGGGGUGANGGCCUACCAAGGCGACGACGGGUAGCCGGCCUGAGAGGGCGACCGGCCACACUGGGACUGAGACACGGCCCAGACUCCUACGGGAGGCAGCAGUGGGGAAGUCUUGCGCAAUGGGCGAAAGCCUGACGCAGCGACGCCGCGUGGAGGAUGAAGGUC